RNAcentral lists this long non-coding RNA (597 nucleotides) under Meleagris gallopavo (turkey). Its description in RNAcentral is "lncRNA (ENSMGAG00000021303.1)". The record is from RNAcentral. Lineage: Eukaryota; Metazoa; Chordata; Aves; Galliformes; Phasianidae.
GUUACAGUCUGAAAAAGAGAUAAGCUGGAAAAAAAGAAAAAUAAGCAAAUGGAAACAGAAACUCUGUUAAGUAUUCCUGAACUGCUGGAAGGCAGUUGUUGCUUAUUCUAAGGAAGGAAUAUACUCAGGCCAAUCUACAUCUUUGUCUCAAGAUAGCAGAUGCACUUGGAAACCAUUUUUUGCUUCUUUUCCAGGCUGACCAUAAGCUUCAUUCUACUGUGUGAUCUUAAGAUGAAGGUUUCACCUGAAGAAAGCAUUGGAUUGAGACUCAGAAGCCCUGACCCGUACCUUUGGUGACUGUUCCAGACCAGGUGCAUGACUGUAGGUGAGUUGCAUCAUGUUCCUCUGCCUUUGUUUCCCACAGGUAGUUAUAUCCCACUGUUAUGAAGUGCUGGGAGAUGUUGCAGUGAGAGCUAAGUGUGAUUUGCUGUCUUGAGAGAAAACACACAACACACAGCUCUUAGCAUCAUAGGUACUAUAGUUCCAAAGCUUGGCAGCCUGCCGUUAGAGGUAACUAUAUCUUACUAUGUACUGGGAAUAAAAAGCUAGUCGGAGUGACAGUGAUAGCUGUUUACUUCCAAUUUAACCUGGUUAUGU